CGCCCAGGGUGGUGAGUUAUGUUGUAAGAGGGUUGUAAAACGAAAGUCCUUGUUUUUUCUUUAACUCACGUUCUGGUCUUUGAGUGUAGAAUGUGUCAACAGGGUCAGGAUUCAUUAACAUGGAACAGAUGGUUGAAUACCAUCCGCUCAUUGGUGUUACACUUGUUUGUUAGAUCGUUUUUUGAGGUCCGUCGUGAUUCAUGUCUGGUUCGUCCUGCUCUGCAUUCUUUCUGUUGGUCCUGUUCCAGUUGUAUGUUGUGGAUUACUUCGUCAUCGUUUGAACCUUUCAUCACUCUUCACCAACGCACUCAACUUACCACCUCACCCAUCCUGUGCUGUCAUCGAGGUCCAUGUGUCACCCACCGUCUACCAAAGCCUUUCUCAUUGUCUCGGGAAUAAUUACCACUACUUGCAUUAUUGCUUCCUGUCUUUUGUAUCCUGACAGAACGAUCUGACACCCUGAUGGAAUCAGCAAGUAACCCUUCGUCCUCAUUGGAUGAACUCCUCAGUGCCAGUGUUCAUAGGAUGGAUACACAAGAAAGGAGUCUUAACAACAUUGAUCGCCCUGUUCAGGCAUUGGUGGCGCAGGUGUUCGAGCUCACCCAGCAGUUACAACUCCUACGAGCUCCCACUGCUCCCCCCACGUCGCCCCUUCCCCCACACCACCAGAAAGCCAGAAUGUUUGCACACCUGCGACAAGGAGAGAGAUCAGUAUCAAACUUCUCAAUUGAGUUCCGAACCCUAGCGUUGGAGUAUAAAUGGAACAAGGAAAUGCAGUGGGACAUGUUCCUGCAGAGAGAGAUCUACACCGUGGAUCUUCCUAAUUCUCUCAAUGAACUUAUUGAGCUGGCACUAUGAGUUGAAGCACAAAUGUCCAGAGUAGAGCAACGGACCCUAACCAGUCAUACCCUGAGAGAUCCUACGGGCACACGAGCCAGCGGCGGGGACAUGGUCAGUCCCAUCUACGAUCACGAGCCCAUGCAGGUAGGCGAGCUCAGCUUUCCUGGGAGGAUAAGGAGAGGCAGAGAUACCAAGGCCUUUGCCUUUACUGCGGGGGAGCCGGUCAUCACGAUUACAUCUGUCCAGUAAAAGGUCAAGCCCGAUAGUAAGUAUGAGGCUACUAUCGGGUGGUAUCUCCACCAAUCUACACUCCUCCCGGUAAGACUGAGAUAGUCAGCACACACUCAUGACACUCAAGUACUUCUGGACUCCAGGGCUGAAGGUAAUUCAAUGGACUAUGCACUUGCAUGCCAACUUCAGAUUCCCCUCAAACCACUCACUCACAGGAUCGCUGUGAGUGCCCUCAAUGGACAAAGACUUCCAGUCACUUCACUCACCACUGAAGACAUCAACCUCAACACGUCUGGCAACCACUCUGAAACCAUCUCCUUUUACAUAUUGAACACUCUCCUUGCACCCAUAGUCCUUGGACACCCCACCUCUGUCACAACCCCAAAAUAGACUGGCAACUGUGAUCCGUCUCGGCCUGGAGCAGUAAGUGUCAUGAGGGUUGUCUCGUGUCUACCUGUCCUUCUGUUUCUGUGUUUCAGUGGGAAGCAGUGGAUUUGUCUAACGUGCCCCUGGAGUACCUUAAUCUGAAGGAAGUGUUCAGUAAGUCUUGUGCUGGUUCACUUCCUCCUCAUCGUCCCUAGGACUGUGCCAUAGAUUUACUAUCAGGUAAGUCUCCGCCUAAAGGCAAAUUAUAUUUGCUUUCUGUUCCGGAAAAGGAGACUAUGGAGAAAUAUAUUUCUGAUUCUCUAGCUUCGGGGUUCAUCCGCCCUUCCUCUUCUCCAGCGGGGACGGGGUUCUUUUUUGCGAGGAAGAAGGAUGGGUCUCUGCAACCUUGUAUCCAUUACCGGGGACUGAACAACAUCACGGUAAAGAAUACUUAUCCUUUGCCAUUGAUGUCUUCAGCCUUUGAGAGGUUGCAGGGAGCGUCGAUCUUCACGAAAUUGGACUUAAGUAAUGCUUAUCAUUUGGUCCGUAUUAGGGAGGGGAAUGAAUGGAAGACUGCUUUUAACAUCCCCAGGGACCACUUUGAAUAUUUGGUCAUGCCUUUCGGCUUCUUCAACUCCCCAGCAGUCUUCGAGGCUUUCAUCAACGACGUGCUGCGAGAUAUGGUCGAUCAGUUCAUAUUUGUCUACCUGGAUUAAAUUUUUUCCUCUUCUCUCCAGGAACACGUGCAUCACGUCCGACGAGUGCUUCAGAGGUUGCUAGAGAAUGGGCUUUUUGUCAAGGCGGAGAUAUGUGCUUUUCAUGCAAAGUCUCUUCCUUUUCUGGGGUACAUUGUGUUGACUGAGGGAAUACAUAUGGAUCCUGAGAAAGUUAAGGCUGUGGUAGAUUGGCCAGGUCCAGAUUCCCGUAAGGCCCUACAGAGGUUUCUGGGGUUCGCUAACUUUUACCGGCGUUUAUUCGCAACUUCAGCUAACUAGCCGCACCUCUGACUGUUUAGACCUCCCCCAGAACCACGUUCAGGUGGUCAGACACCGAGGCUUUGUGGUGGAGGUCGAUGUGUCUGAGGUGGGAGUAGGUUCAGUGCUAUCCCAAAGUUUUCCCACAGAUGACAAGAUGCACCCAUCCGCAUUUUUUCCCACCGGUUAUCCCCUGCCAAACGUAAUUAUGAUAUUGUUAACCGAGAGCUGUUGGCAGUCAAUAUGACAUUAAAGGAAUGGCACCACUGACUAGAAGGCCCGGGGGUUCCUGUUAUUGUAUCGAUAAACCAUAAGAAUCUAGAAUACAUUAGAACCGCCAAAAGGUUGAACUCCAGGUAGGUCGUUUUCGCGCAUUUUUGACCAUACCAAACGCCGGUCUUCUCCCGUCUGGAAUCCGAAGUCAUGGUCCCCACCUUUCACCUUUCGCCUUUAUCCAGAGGAGUCUCCGCAACCAUAACAUUGAUUGUUAAUGUGAUCAGUGGCAGCUGCAACUCAGAACACACUGCCUACUUAAUGCCCUGUCUUUCGUCUCUUGUUUGUCAGAUCGUUGUUUGAGGUCCAUCGUGAUUCAUGUCUGGUUCAUCCUGCUCUGCUAUGGGCUUGUUGCAGCAGUCUGUAAGGGAAAACAGCGAUGUGCUUGAUGUAGUGAUAACCAUGAAAGUGGAAAGUGUGAGCAAGGGGCACAUUUAAAGUGCUGUAACUGUGGAGGCGAGCACAGUACUGGCUUCGGGGGAUGUGAGGUACAUAGAAACGCUGUAAAAAUUCAGAACGUCAGAAUGCAAGAGAGAAUUUCCUAUGCAGAGGCUGUUAAAAAGGUCAAACAGACAGAAGUUGGGCAAGGAAAUUAAUCAUCAGUUCUAAUAAACAAGAAUAGUAGGCCAUCAUUGCAACACAAAUUAAAUGAAGACUUUCUAAAAAUGGGAAAAGUUGAGUUCAUGACUUUUCUAGCUGAGGUAAUAAACUGUGUUGCACAAACCGAAAGGAGAACUGAGAGAAUAAAGGAACAUUAUAUUAAAAUGUAAUAAAUAAAUAAUUAAGCUCAUAUAUAAAUAACUAUAAUAAAGGAAGAUAUGUUUUAGUGUGUCUUUUUUUUUUGAGAAUUUUUUUCUCCUUCCUCUCGUGAUAUUGCUUGGACCAUAAAUGCCCAAACCAGGACCCUUAGGCCAAAUCAAAGGUCUUUGGACCCUGGGCCCUGGUUUGGGCAUCCCUGGACUAGAGCAAUUUGUAAUUAAUUUUUUUUAAUAAAAGGUAUAUUUGUUCCGUAUAGUCCUGUUUUAUUCAGAAGAUGUAGGUCCUGCUCGGCAGACUCUCUGUGAUCUGGGAUCAGGUGGUUCUGGCCGUGAGUCAGGAGUAUGUGCCUCGAGGAGAGUAGCCCCUGAGCCUCAGAGACAGGGACGAGGUUGGCCAUUAUACCACCCCUCAGUGUAGGCUAAAGAAAUUACCAAGGUGGACAUCAAAUCUGAUACCUGUUUGUAUGUCUUUUUUACUGUAUAUUAUAAUAAUACAUUAUAAAUAUAUAACAAGUGUUUCAUACUAUAUUUUAUAUUUAUUAUUUAUACAAAUAUUUUAAAUACCAUGUUUUGUUUCUGUUCAGGUAUGGUUGCGGAUGGGGGUCAGGAUCUAAUUGCACUCACUACUGACAAUCUUUCUGCUGAUUGUGUUUCUGAAUCUGUUACGUGUCCCUCCUGUGGGGCUGUAUCUCUGUUUAUUGGUCAGUUUUUAUUGCACUAUAUUUUGUUGGAUCAUUGCUUCUGUGUAUAGUUGACUUUCUUACAGUUUCAAUGAGAGUUAAGUACUUGAAAGCCAUAUAGCACAUUUUCUGUUCUUUCCCAUUGUGUCUGCAGCAUGGUUCCUAUAACAGAAGCAAGUGUUAUAAUUGGGAUCUCAUCAACGCACAGAAGGGAUUCCUUGGAGGCAGUGAAGUACUGCAUCGACACACUCAAAGUUACUGUGCCAAUCUGGAAGAAGGAAAUAUACGAGUCUGGGGAGCUGUGCUGGAAAGAGAACAAGGAGUGUUUGUGGGGGAAACUGGGAAAGAUCCCAAACAAAGUUGAACUGUUAACGAGUAUAUAAGCUACAGUAAAUCUCAUGAAGCAUCAAGAGGUUUUUAUUGAAAAAAUACAAAGCUCAAAGUUUUCCUGUAACACCUGAUGAAACACAUUAAAAAAAUUUAAUCAAAAGAGCAUAUUCUACUUUUGUCUGGAAACAGACCGUUUUAAAGUACCAGUGCAAAAGCAUCAUGUAAACAUGAAGGGAAAUCUUUGUCGUUUAUGUUGCCUUUGAUUAGAUGGAUCUCUUCUCCAAAGGUUUCGUAAACACGUCUCAUAUCACAUCAGUAGUAGUUUUUAACCCUGAAUUCAUAUAGCAAUUUAUUGACAUCACUUUCAUAUAAAAUUCAUAUACAUGCAAAUAGGUUUAACAUUUCAGACUUUUUGACUGCAUUGUAUAAUGCUUACAUCAUUUGUUAAUGCACAGUCAAACAGUUUGAAAUGUCCUUUAACAUUCGUAUGUAUGUGAAUUACUGAUAAUAUAAAUAAAUGUUAACGUUUAUAAAUGACAAGUUAGUAAUAAGCAACAAUGCAAAAACACUUUUUUAAUUUAUAUUAUAUAUUACAAUAUAUAAAUCAUACAUUAUUUGUUAAUGUAAGAUUUAAUGUCAUAUUACUAACUUGAUUAAUUUGUGCAAAUGGUCACAAUAAUGUUUUUUUGUUUUUCACAUGAAGUAUCAGUCCAUUUCACUGAUGUGUUGCAUUGGCACUGAUUACUAUUUUUAGCAAAUUUAGAGAAACAAACUUGGCUGACACAGCCUACUUUACCAGUGUAUUGUUGCUUUGAUAUAAAACAUUAAUGUAUUGUGUUUUAUAUUUUGUUAUUGCUAGAUUGGUUUCACUAAUAUAAUUUGGGAAAAAUGCUUGGUUAAUUUUGGGAAAGAGUUUGGUAAUUUUAGUAAUCCGUUAUAUAACGUAAAUAAGUUUGUGACUCAAAGGUCUAUUUACACAUAUGCCACCAAUUUAUCUCUUUGUUUUUUUUUUUCUGAGUAUGCUAGGGUACAUGUACAUCUGUUGUUCUCUUGUUUACCUGACUGCUUCUAUUGUUCUGAUUUGUAAGUUGCUUUGGAUAAAAGUGUCUGCUAAAUGAUUAAAUGUAAAUGUACAUCUAA
Long non-coding RNA from Carassius gibelio (silver crucian carp), 5592 nucleotides. RefSeq lists it as uncharacterized. The transcript is spliced from 2 exons. NCBI's taxonomy places the organism in Eukaryota, Metazoa, Chordata, Actinopteri, Cypriniformes, Cyprinidae. The record is from RefSeq and is a predicted model, not a curated record.